GAUGAACGCUGGCGGCGUGCUUAACACAUGCAAGUCGAACGGAAAGGCUCCUGCUUGCCGUGGUACUCGAGUGGCGCACGGGUGAGUAACACGUGGGUGAUCUGCCCCGCACUUCGGGAUAAGCCUGGGAAACUGGGUCUACUACCGGAUAGGACAGUGGUUUGGAUGCCAUUGUUGAAAGCUUUUGCGGUGUGGGAUGAGCUCGCGGCCUAUCAGCUUGUUGGUGGGGUAAUGGCCUACCAAGGCGUCGACGGGUAGCCGGCCUGAGAGGGUGUACGGCCACAUUGGGACUGAGAUACGGCCAGACUCCUACGGGAGGCAGCAGGGGGGAAUAUUGCACAAUGGGCGCAAGCCUGAUGCAGCGACGCCGCGUGGGGGAUGACGGCCUUCGGGUUGUAAACUCCUUUCGCUAGGGACGAAGCGUUAUGUGACGGUACCUAGAGAAGAAGCACCGGCUAACUACGUG
This 466-nucleotide ribosomal RNA is filed under the name uncultured bacterium. RNAcentral's name for it is "partial 16S ribosomal RNA". It matches the Rfam family "Bacterial small subunit ribosomal RNA", at positions 28 to 507 of the family's 1533-position model. The record is from RNAcentral.